This 660-nucleotide ribosomal RNA is filed under the name Aeromicrobium sp. I12A-00113. RNAcentral's name for it is "bacterial SSU rRNA". It matches the Rfam family "Bacterial small subunit ribosomal RNA", at positions 96 to 770 of the family's 1533-position model. Lineage: Bacteria; Bacillati; Actinomycetota; Actinomycetes; Propionibacteriales; Nocardioidaceae. The record is from RNAcentral.
CGGCGAACGGGUGAGUAACACGUGAGCAAUCUGCCCUUCUCUUUGGAAUAACCAUUGGAAACGAUGGCUAAUGCCGAAUAUGAACCCCUUUCGCAUGUUGGGGGUUGGAAAGCUCCGGCGGAGAAGGAUGAGCUCGCGGCCUAUCAGCUUGUUGGUGAGGUAAUGGCUCACCAAGGCAUUGACGGGUAGCCGGCCUGAGAGGGUGACCGGCCACACUGGGACUGAGACACGGCCCAGACUCCUACGGGAGGCAGCAGUGGGGAAUAUUGGACAAUGGGCGAAAGCCUGAUCCAGCAACGCCGCGUGAGGGAUGACGGCCUUCGGGUUGUAAACCUCUUUCAGCAGGGACGAAGCGAGAGUGACGGUACCUGCAGAAGAAGGACCGGCCAACUACGUGCCAGCAGCCGCGGUAAUACGUAGGGUCCGAGCGUUGUCCGGAAUUAUUGGGCGUAAAGGGCUCGUAGGCGGUUUGUCGCGUCGGGAGUGAAAACUCAGGGCUCAACCCUGAGCGUGCUUCCGAUACGGGCAGACUAGAGGUAUGCAGGGGAGAACGGAAUUCCUGGUGUAGCGGUGGAAUGCGCAGAUAUCAGGAGGAACACCGGUGGCGAAGGCGGUUCUCUGGGCAUUACCUGACGCUGAGGAGCGAAAGCAUGGGGAGCG